Molecule: ribosomal RNA, 227 nt
Filed under: uncultured bacterium
Lineage: Bacteria
Description: partial 16S ribosomal RNA
Rfam family: Bacterial small subunit ribosomal RNA
Source: RNAcentral
GAUCACCUGGCUCAGGAUGAACGCUAGCUACAGGCUUAACACAUGCAAGUCGAGGGGCAGCAUGGUCUUAGCUUGCUAAGGCCGAUGGCGACCGGCGCACGGGUGAGUAACACGUAUCCAACCUGCCGUCUACUCUUGGACAGCCUUCUGAAAGGAAGAUUAAUACAAGAUGGCAUCAUGAGUCCACAUGUUCACAUGAUUAAAGGUAUUCCGGUAGACGAUGGGGA